CAGCCGCCACGGUAAUACGGAGGGGGCUAGCGUUGUUCGGAAUUACUGGGCGUAAAGCGCACGUAGGCGGCUUGGUAAGUUAGAGGUGAAAGCCCGGAGCUCAACUCCGGAAUUGCCUUUAAGACUGCCGAGCUAGCAGGUGAGAGAGGUAAGUGGAAUUCCGAGUGUAGAGGUGAAAUUCGUAGAUAUUCGGAAGAACACCAGUGGCGAAGGCGGCUUACUGGCUCAUACUGGACGCUGAGGUGCGAAAGCGUGGGGAGCAAACAGGAUUAGAGACCCCCGUAGUCCCUGUCUCUUAUAC
Molecule: ribosomal RNA, 301 nt
Filed under: uncultured bacterium
Lineage: Bacteria
Description: partial 16S ribosomal RNA
Rfam family: Bacterial small subunit ribosomal RNA
Source: RNAcentral